ACCGAGUGUCAGCAUCAUAUGCUGGCUGUCCAGGUGUGUAAAAUACACCUGUUAGCAAGGGCCGGGCAAGACCGGUGCCAGCCGCCGCGGUAACACCGGCGGCCCGAGUGGUGAUCGUGAUUAUUGGGUCUAAAGGGUCCGUAGCCGGUUUGGUCAGUCCUCCGGGAAAUCUGAUGGCUCAACCAUUAGGCUUUCGGGGGAUACUGCCAGGCUUGGAACCGGGAGAGGUAAGAGGUACUACAGGGGUAGGA
RNAcentral lists this ribosomal RNA (251 nucleotides) under uncultured methanogenic archaeon. Its description in RNAcentral is "partial 16S ribosomal RNA". It matches the Rfam family "Archaeal small subunit ribosomal RNA", at positions 380 to 631 of the family's 1478-position model. Lineage: Archaea; Methanobacteriati; Methanobacteriota. The record is from RNAcentral.